RNAcentral lists this ribosomal RNA (371 nucleotides) under uncultured bacterium. RNAcentral's name for it is "bacterial SSU rRNA". It matches the Rfam family "Bacterial small subunit ribosomal RNA", at positions 527 to 896 of the family's 1533-position model. The record is from RNAcentral.
GUAGGGUGCGAGCGUUGUCCGGAAUUACUGGGCGUAAAGAGCUCGUAGGUGGUUUGUCGCGUUGUCCGUGAAAUCCCACGGCUUAACUGUGGGCGUGCGGGCGAUACGGGCAGACUAGAGUGCUGCAGGGGAGACUGGAAUUCCUGGUGUAGCGGUGGAAUGCGCAGAUAUCAGGAGGAACACCGGUGGCGAAGGCGGGUCUCUGGGCAGCUACUGACGCUGAGGAGCGAAAGCGUGGGGAGCGAACAGGAUUAGAUACCCUGGUAGUCCACGCCGUAAACGGUGGGUACUAGGUGUGGGUUCUUUCCUAAGGAUCCGUGCCGUAGCUAACGCAUUAAGUACCCCACCUGGGGAGUACGGCCGCAAGGCUA